RNAcentral lists this ribosomal RNA (511 nucleotides) under Pantepuisaurus rodriguesi. Its description in RNAcentral is "partial 16S ribosomal RNA". It matches the Rfam family "Bacterial large subunit ribosomal RNA", at positions 1816 to 2597 of the family's 2925-position model. The record is from RNAcentral. Lineage: Eukaryota; Metazoa; Chordata; Lepidosauria; Squamata; Gymnophthalmidae.
AGCCUUUAGCAACAACAGUAUUAAAGGUGAUGCCUGCCCAGUGAAUUACUUAAACGGCCGCGGGAUCCUCCACCGUGCAAAGGUAGCAUAAUCACUUGUCUCCUAAAUAGAGACUAGUAUGAAUGGCCAAAUGAGGAUUUACCUGUCUCCUGUAGAUAAUCUAUGAAACUAAUUUUCCAGUACAAAAGCUGGGAUUUUCCCAUAAGACGAAAAGACCCUGUGGAACUUUAUAAACGGAGACCACCCAACACAUGGUCAACCCGCUUUCAGUUGGGGCAACUAUGGAAAUAAACAAAACUUCCACACCACCUCACCAGGUGGACACACCCAUUCUUCUCCCCUUCAGACCCAGUAUGUAACUGAAAAAAGAACCAAGCUACCCCAGGGAUAACAGCGCCAUCCCCUCCUAGAGCCCCCAUCGACGAGGGGGUUUACGACCUCGAUGUUGGAUCAGGGCCCCCAAACAGUGCAGCAGCUGUUAAUGGUUUGUUUGUUCAACAACUAAUGCCCU